GACGUAGGGCGCGAGCGUUUGUCCGGAUUUAUUGGGCGUAAAGAGCUCGUAGGCGGCUUGUCGCGUCGACCGUGAAAACUUGGGGCUCAACCCCAAGCCUGCGGUCGAUACGGGCAGGCUCGAGUUCGGUAGGGGAGACUGGAAUUCCUGGUGUAGCGGUGAAAUGGGCAGAUAUCAGGAGGAACACCGGUGGCGAAGGCGGGUCUCUGGGGCCGAUACUGACGCUGAGGAGCGAAAGCGUGGGGAGCGAACAGG
Molecule: ribosomal RNA, 255 nt
Filed under: uncultured bacterium
Lineage: Bacteria
Description: partial 16S ribosomal RNA
Rfam family: Bacterial small subunit ribosomal RNA
Source: RNAcentral